Molecule: non-coding RNA, 3527 nt
Organism: Arachis ipaensis
Lineage: Eukaryota; Viridiplantae; Streptophyta; Magnoliopsida; Fabales; Fabaceae
Source: RefSeq, a predicted model, not a curated record
CAACUGGGCGAUGUCAGCCGUCACCAUUUGUUAACCGGUUCCAGGGACUAAAUUGUAUAACACUAUAACAUCUUUGAUGGUCAGGGGACCGAUCUGACAUUUCCAUAUCGUUGAAAGAGGUUUAGUCAUUUGAAAAAAUGGGAAAACCGGAAAACAAAAGAAAUUACAAUCUUGUUGAGCCACAAGAUGCAUGGUGAUGCUGCACCUGUUUGAGCCAUGCUACCAAUAGCAACUGCAUUGCACCCAAACACCCAAAGCUUUGAACAACACUACCGGAACCUUUGCAACACGCUCUUGUCCCUCACCCAUUCUCGCUCCCUUCCAAAGGGGCUUCAGCUCCACGCCCAUAUCCUCAAGACUGGCCUCAACUCCGUUCCUUUCCUCUCCCAUCACCUUAUUAACUUCUACUCGAAAACUUGCCUCCCCCACUUCUCCCACAAAGUGUUUGACGAAAGUCCCCAUAGAACCCUCGGCACAUGGAGUUCCUUAAUCUCUUCUUUCGCCCAAAAUGAACUCCCAUUGCUUGCUCUACACUCAUUUCGCCGCAUGAUCCUUAAUGGGGUCCGUCCAAAUGACUACACCUUCCCUAGUGCCACCAAGUCAUGCGCCAUAUUGGGCGAUCCCCACGUCGGAGAAUCAGUGCAUUGUCUCGCCCUCAAGACUGGGUAUGUGGUUGAUGUGUUUGUUGGGAAUUCCAUUGUUGAUAUGUAUGCCAAGUGUGGCAAAAUUUGGUGUGCGAGGAAGGUUUUUGAUGAAAUGCCCGAACGAAAUGUUGUUUCUUGGAGUGGGAUGAUAUUUGGGUACGUGCAGAUGGGUGAGGAUGAAGAGGCUCUGGGAUUGUUUAAGAUGGUGAUGGCUGACGCAAAUGUUAGGGUUAAUGAUUUUACUUUGUCUAGUGUUUUGAGGGUUUGUGGAGGAUCCACAUUGCUUGAGUUGGGGAAGCAAGUACAUGGAUUGUGCUUUAAGACGAGCUUUGAUUCGUCGAGUUUUGUGGGGAGUUCAUUGAUUUCUUUGUACUCUAAGUGUGGGGUUGUGGAAGGAGCUUACCUGGUUUUUGAGGAGGUGAAGGAUAGAAACCUUGUCAUAUGGACUGCAAUGCUGGUUGCAUGCGCUCAGCAUGCCCAUACGAGUAAAACAUUUGAGCUCUUCAAGGAGAUGGAGAGUGUUGGGAUGAAGCCUAAUUUCAUUACCUUUUUGUGCAUGCUCUAUGCUUGUAGCCACACUGGGUUGGUUGAGGAGGGACAGUAUUACUUUGAGAUGAUGAGAGGCUAUGGCAUUGAACCAGGGGUACAACAUUAUUGCACAAUGGUGGAUUUGCUUGGCCGUGCAGGGAAGUUGCAGGAAGCAGUUCAGGUGGUUCAAGAGAUGCCUAUGCAACCAACAGAAUCUGUCUGGGGAGCUUUGUUGACGGGGUGUAGAAUACACGGGAACACUGAAUUGGCAUCAUAUGUGGCUGAUAGAGUUUUUGAAUUAGGUUCAUUGAGCGCAGGCGUUCAUGUAUUGCUCAUUAAUGCUUAUGCUGCUGCUGGUAGAUGGGAGGAAGCGGCAAGGGCAAGGAAGAUGCUGAGGGAUCGAGGAAUAAAGAAGGAAACUGGUUUGAGUUGGGUGGAGGAAGGGAAUAAAGUUCACACGUUUGUUGCCAGGGAUAGGUCUCACGCAAAGACCACGGAAAUCUAUAAGAAGUUGGAGGAGUUAGGAGAAGAAAUGGAGAAGGCUGGUUAUGUUGCAGACACAUCUUUUGUGCUGAAAGAGGUGAGAGGCGAAGAGAAGAAUGAGACUAUAAGGUAUCAUAGUGAAAGGUUGGCCAUAGCAUUUGGCCUCAUUACUUUCCCGAAGGAGCGACCAAUCAGAGUGAUGAAGAAUCUGCGUGUCUGUGGCGAUUGCCACACUGCAAUCAAGUUCAUUAGCAAGUGCACUGGGAGGGUGAUCAUUGUGAGGGACAAUAACAGGUUCCACCGGUUUGAGGAUGGGAAAUGCACUUGUGGAGAUUAUUGGUGAUCAUAAUGAUGCUGAAUGACAUUAGACUACUGAUAACAAAGUUGGAGCAGUUCAUGACUAUAAUACAUCGUUCUUGAAGAACUGUUUUGUCGUUUGAACAUUCUUGUCCUUUAGUGGAAAGUUUCCUCUUUGCUUGGGAACGUUACCAUCUAGCUUGGUUCCAAAGGAUCUAUGUAGCAGCGUCCAGCAGUUUCCGGUUUUUGGUUGCAUGGAGUCAUGGACAAGGCAUUUUUCUUUAAGCAAUUAGCAGUGGAUAGUGGAUACUCAGGUAUGAUAUUCAGGCUUCCACACCCUUGAUGCGAGAUUGUUGAGGACAAUUGGUUUGGCUAAACAAAAGGAAGGAUUAUAUUAUCUCAUUGUGAAUGCUAUGAAGGACAAACCCACAACCACAUUUUAGGUCCCAACUUAUUAAAUAAUGCCAUUACCACACCAAUGACAAACAAAAAUAUAUGCAACAUUUCAGGUUCUAGCGGUGGAAAAGAGCAAAAGAUGUACAAUGCAUGGCGUGUUGGGAGCGUCUCCGCAAAAUGUUUGUCGACAUUCGCAACGAGGGAUCUCCAACUGAUUGUGAUAGAACCAGCACUAGCAGAAUGGUCCAAACUUGUUAGCAGUAGACGUUUUUCUAUCAGAUUGGAUUUUCGAUGAAAUUCUUGCACAACUUAGGGAGUAUUGGGCUAUGGAGGAAUAUGGAGAUACGAUGUCCAAGUCCAACACAGAAGAAUCGGUGCACACUUGCAGCUCCACUAUGUAUGUGGUCACGACCAAAAUAUGGACCGCUUUGAGGAGAACAUGGUGAAAGCCACCGACCGUGCCACACAAGUUGCUGCAACAUAGAUUCGCCCUCCAUUUGAGAGGAGGUGGGGACACAGACGGUUGUUAGACGCAACUGUGGGAGGGUGUAUAUAGUCGGAUGAGUCAACACAGCUACUACACCAGGAUUCUAUGAUGCAGCUGGGACACCAGAUGACCUAUACAUCGCCAAUGAACCGGAAGAUCUGAGGGAUCAUAUUAGCCUACACAAGGAGAUGAAUUAGCAAUUGGAGCAGCACAGGAUGAGGUAUGAAAAGAUGGAUACCAUCAAGAGCAAGUUGAGUGGAGGUAGACUCAUCACAGGCAGCUAGAGGAGAUCACUCGCCUCCAGCACAUGGUUGACAAACAAUAUCAAGAGUUCACUGGUUUGGAGAGCACAGUAUGUCAGAUCUACAACUUAAUGCAAUCGAUGCAGAGGCAGAGCGACUCUCCCGCAAUAUUCCUAUGCCCUUGCACCUUCUUUCAUGGCCAGCGGUGCCUCACAGUUGCUGCAAGCUGAUGAUCCACUACCACCGCCACCACCUUGACGCCUUAGCCAUUGGUAAAAAGCAACAGCCUUGUAGUGUUACUCCAUUAUUUUUCAUAUUUUUCAGAUAUGGAUGUCUAGUUGAGUUUUGAUAAGCCUACUUUACUAUAGUUGUUGGUUGGUAAACAUUUUAUCUUUAAAUGUUUCGUACUAAGUAAAAAGUGUUUCACUUAUUAGUUAAACAAAUUAAUUU